CCUUUAGAUGGGCCCGCGUUGGAUUAGCUAGUUGGUGGGGGUAAAGGCCUACCAAGGCGACGAUCCAUAGCUGGUCUGAGAGGAUGAUCAGCCACACUGGGACUGAGACACGGCCCAGACUCCUACGGGAGGCAGCAGGUGGGGAAUAUUGGGACAAUGGGCGAAAGCCUGAUCCAGCAAUGCCGCGUGAGUGAUGAAGGCCUUAGGGUUGUAAAGCUCUUUUACCCGAGAUGAUAAUGACAGUAUCGGGAGAAUAAGCUCCGGCUAACUCCGUG
RNAcentral lists this ribosomal RNA (275 nucleotides) under uncultured bacterium. RNAcentral describes it as "partial 16S ribosomal RNA". It matches the Rfam family "Bacterial small subunit ribosomal RNA", at positions 218 to 507 of the family's 1533-position model. The record is from RNAcentral.